Long non-coding RNA from Nannospalax galili (Upper Galilee mountains blind mole rat), 1449 nucleotides. RefSeq lists it as uncharacterized. The record is from RefSeq and is a predicted model, not a curated record. The transcript has 9 exons. NCBI's taxonomy places the organism in Eukaryota, Metazoa, Chordata, Mammalia, Rodentia, Spalacidae.
GGAGGGCCGGGUAGACCUGGGGAAGACUUUAGCUGAUGUACAUGCGAUGGUUUCCUUAGCUUUGGGCGACUCUUCCCCGCGGUUUCGUGAGCCGCCGUAGCCAGAGGCUGAUGCUGUAAUUCCCCACCUCAUUUCCUCAGCUUCUGUGAAGGCAUACUUUUAGAAAAGGCUAAAAAGACCUAAAAUUAGAGAAUUCAAGUUGGAAGGAACCUGAAAAACAGCUUUCAAGAGAGAGAUGCCUUCGAUGGACUUAUAAUCUGAUAAGGUCUUGGAUGAAGUGUAGCUAAUGAAUUGUGCUGUGUGUGUCCAUGUUGUUGAUGCUGCCUAUGCCUGCCUGGUCUUGGAUGUGUUGUACUGACUGUGUCCUUGUUAAUGCUGCCUAUGCCUGGUACAGGAUUCUAACAGAUGAUGUUGCCCAGACUGGUGGGUUGGGUUGACCCUGCCAGCUCCAUCCUCAACUAGGAGACUGUUUAUAUCACCAGUUCCUGCAAGACAAAAGUAGAACUAGGGAAACAUAGUGAACUCAGAAGACGGCAAGAAGAAGGAUUAUAUUUUUCAGAAAGGCAGUCAUUGGCAUACCAUACUACUUGUCAAUCAACUAACUCAGGAUGGGAGAACCUCCGAAUUUCCAGGAUGCCUGUGCCUUGGGUUCCCGUGACCAGGACUACAGCUGGGAGCAACAGUGGCAGCUGGAGGAACAUUUCAAGAUGGAACCCUACCCUGACCGUGAGGCUUACAAGGUCCUGGCAGCCAGACUGAACCUGAAGGAGGAGCAAGUUGAGACAUGGUUCAUCCAGCGCAUGCUCGAGCAAGAGCUGAGGCCACCUCGCCCUGACUUGCGUCACUCUGCCCGGCUCAGCAUGGUGCCCUAUGUUUACCAUGGGUCCUACUGCUGCUACAGGCAAAGCUGGCGCUCCAGGCUCAUUCCCGUCAACCCAGCAGAGUCCUCACCCAGCCAUGAGCAUAGCUGCUGAUUCUCCUACCCAGAGACCUGGGCUCAGUGGGGCCUCCCCAGCCUGUUUGCCAAAGCCCCUGCCCUCCCCAAGAUGCACCAGGCUCUUGGAAACACAGGUUGCCAUCCACAGACUCUCUCUGCUUUCACGCGAGAUGGAGAUGAUGGCAUGCCAGACAACAAACCAGCGUCCUAGGGCUCCUGAAUCUAUAGGGAGGGGGCCCUGUAGACCUCAAAGGGCCACAUCGUGGGGCCCGGGGAGGCAGCUCAGUGAUUUCCCUGUCUGUUCUGAUCUCCCAAUCAGCUAGGUUUGGCAAUCGCAAUUUUUCUUUUAUUCUUUUCUCCCAGAAAGUUCACCAGUAGCCCAGGUUAGCCAUCAGUUCAAUAUAUAUCAGAGGAUGACCUUAAACUCUGGAUUCUCCUGCUUCCUAGGGCUGAUUUCUGUUUUUUUCUCUUCUGUUUGUUAUUUGUUAAUAAAGUGAAAUUAUUGAUAGACA